CUCAGCUGGGCUUUUCUGUAACAAAGACACAGAAGUCCUUACCCAGGCCACAAACCCCACUGAUCCACACAAGUGGUAUUCUGCUAGGGAGAUUGCAGGAGAACUUGUUGGUUUCUGUGGAGCACAAAAGGAACUGUGGGAAAGUGGUGAAGGACUUUCAUCAGACAAAAGGAUUAUCCUGUUUUCUGCAGUAAAGCAGGUGGCUGCCAGCUGAAACAGUGAACGAAAAAGUAGAAAAAGCUGCUUGUAAAAUGACUUUCCUAUCACAUUUACUCAGGAGAAUUCUGUGGAAGAUGCAAAAAUAAAGGCUACUAAAGAAUUGGCUCUGCAAGUAUGUCAGGCUGAAGCUGCACACCUGUGAGCACAGAAGUACGACCUUUAAUACCAGAUAUCUGAGUUUGGAAUUCAAAGUACAACUGAGGAAGAAAACCUAAAUCCAGUUACUUAAAUCACUUGAAUAUUUCCAACAUUGUUAUAUAAGAAUCUCACAUUUAAAAGGAUUUAAUCUAAGAAGAAUGUUUGUAAAAUGAUGUUUCCUAUUUAACAUCUAACAUAAAUGAGCAUUAUCUCACAAAACCAGCCAGACACUAUGAAUCUCUGCAAG
Molecule: long non-coding RNA, 604 nt
Organism: Vidua chalybeata
Lineage: Eukaryota; Metazoa; Chordata; Aves; Passeriformes; Viduidae
Exons: 4
Source: RefSeq, a predicted model, not a curated record